Non-coding RNA from Danio rerio (zebrafish), 71 nucleotides. The record is from Rfam. Lineage: Eukaryota; Metazoa; Chordata; Actinopteri; Cypriniformes; Danionidae.
GCAUUGGUGGUUCAGUGGUAGAAUUCUCGCCUACCACGUGGCAGACCCUGGUCCAGUUCCUGGCAAAUGCA